GAGUUUGAUCUUGGCUCAGGAUGAACGCUGGCGGCGUGCCUAACACAUGCAAGUCGAACGCUCGCAAGAGAGUGGCGCACGGGUGAGUAACACGUAGCUUAUCUGCCCUCAAGACAGGGAUAACAAUAGGAAACUAUUGCUAAUACCUGAUAAGCUUACGAGCUAUAGAGGCUCAUAAGAAAAGAUUUAUCGCUUGAGGAUGAGGCUGCGAGCCAUCAGCUAGUUGGUGAGGUAAAGGCUCACCAAGGCGACGACGGCUA
RNAcentral lists this ribosomal RNA (260 nucleotides) under uncultured Clostridia bacterium. RNAcentral describes it as "partial 16S ribosomal RNA". It matches the Rfam family "Bacterial small subunit ribosomal RNA", at positions 9 to 285 of the family's 1533-position model. The record is from RNAcentral. Lineage: Bacteria; Bacillati; Bacillota; Clostridia.